GACGAACGCUGGCGGCGUGCUUAACACAUGCAAGUCGAACGGAAAGGCCCUGCUUUUGUGGGGUGCUCGAGUGGCGAACGGGUGAGUAACACGUGAGUAACCUGCCCUUGACUUUGGGAUAACUUCAGGAAACUGGGGCUAAUACCGGAUAGGAGCUCCUGCUGCAUGGUGGGGGUUGGAAAGUUUCGGCGGUUGGGGAUGGACUCGCGGCUUAUCAGCUUGUUGGGUGGGUAGUGGCUUACCAAGGCUUUGACGGGUAGCCGGCCUGAGAGGGUGACCGGCGACCUUGGGCCUGCGAGACGGCGCAGACUCCUACGGUAGGCAGUAGGGGGGAAUCUUGCACAAUGGGCCGAAGUCUGAUGCAGAAACGCUGCGUGCGGGAUGCCGGCCUUCGGGUUGUAAACCGCUUUCGCCUGUGACGAAGCGUGAGUGACGGUAACGGGUAAAGAAGCACCGGCUAACUACGUG
RNAcentral lists this ribosomal RNA (468 nucleotides) under uncultured bacterium. RNAcentral's name for it is "partial 16S ribosomal RNA". It matches the Rfam family "Bacterial small subunit ribosomal RNA", at positions 28 to 507 of the family's 1533-position model. The record is from RNAcentral.